This 465-nucleotide ribosomal RNA is filed under the name uncultured Klebsiella sp. RNAcentral describes it as "bacterial SSU rRNA". It matches the Rfam family "Bacterial small subunit ribosomal RNA", at positions 338 to 795 of the family's 1533-position model. The record is from RNAcentral. Lineage: Bacteria; Pseudomonadati; Pseudomonadota; Gammaproteobacteria; Enterobacterales; Enterobacteriaceae.
CCUACGGGAGGCAGCAGUGGGGAAUAUUGCACAAUGGGCGCAAGCCUGAUGCAGCCAUGCCGCGUGUGUGAAGAAGGCCUUCGGGUUGUAAAGCACUUUCAGCGGGGAGGACGGCGGUGAGGUUAAUAACCUCAUCGAUUGACGUUACCCGCAGAAGAAGCACCGGCUAACUCCGUGCCAGCAGCCGCGGUAAUACGGAGGGUGCAAGCGUUAAUCGGAAUUACUGGGCGUAAAGCGCACGCAGGCGGUCUGUCAAGUCGGAUGUGAAAUCCCCGGGCUCAACCUGGGAACUGCAUUCGAAACUGGCAGGCUAGAGUCUUGUAGAGGGGGGUAGAAUUCCAGGUGUAGCGGUGAAAUGCGUAGAGAUCUGGAGGAAUACCGGUGGCGAAGGCGGCCCCCUGGACAAAGACUGACGCUCAGGUGCGAAAGCGUGGGGAACAAACAGGAUUAGAUACCCCGGUAGUC